Lagopus leucura (white-tailed ptarmigan) is the source of this 1661-nucleotide long non-coding RNA. RefSeq lists it as uncharacterized. The transcript has 4 exons. The record is from RefSeq and is a predicted model, not a curated record. NCBI's taxonomy places the organism in Eukaryota, Metazoa, Chordata, Aves, Galliformes, Phasianidae.
GGCUGUGGCUGCCCAGAGAGCUCAGGAACGUUGUUUGCAGCUGUGCUCCACAGCUGAGCAGAACGGCCGGACCCAGAGAGGAGCCUCCAUGGGCUCAUAUAAGAGCCAGCCAGUGGAAGGAAAAUCUGGACCUGGGCAGCUUUCUGAGGAGGUGUUCUGUGCAGCCUAAGAGCCCCUUCACCAGUGGGACGGCACCGGAGCCCUCUUGACAAGUUGGAUUGAUUGUAGCAGAAAUGAGAAGGAAAGCUGUAAACAAGCUCCCAUUGAUUGCUGGAGUGGCAUUGGCUUCACAGGGAACUUGAAGUAACAUCAGGUUUGGGAACCGCAGCCACAAGAAAUAACGAAGAACAACAGAUGUCUGCAUUUCUGAAGGGUUUGGAUUGAACUCUGACAAGCAUUGGAUUGUGCAUCAGCUGUUGCAGAAGCACCACUUCUCAUUUCCUGUGGAGAAAGAAACAGCAGCAUUUCGUGUUCACCUGGAGGUCACACCUGGAGCUGGGAUGUUCCAGGCUGCCAAAUCACAGUGCUGAGGCAGUGGCACUGCAGGAGUGCCUGCUGCCAGCGGCCGCUCACACUGCAUGGAGGGAACCUUCGCACCUCAUGGCAGCAGGGACAGAAACGUGUCCCACUGUGUCCCUGCCUCCUGCCCAGCUGAAGAAACAAUAAUUGUAUGGAAACGUUCCCCUGAUCUGCUGAAUGAAGCCAACAAGAGUUUUGCAGAUCCACUGAAAUCUUUUCUUCCUCCUUUAUCUCCUAAAAGUACAGUUCUAACUGGAGGAGAGUAUCAAGGUAACAUCUGCUGGACCAGCACUUGUGUUUCAAAAGACAUGCAAGCCACUAAGGUCUCCAAUGAGCCUUUGUCUUGCUUUUAUUAAGUGCUUUGUCAUUCUAGAAAACAUUUCAGAACUUGUUACAGCUGAAGAUGGCUGUAAAAUAUGGUAUCAUAAGGAACCACAGUGACAUACCCAUUUCUAUGUCUCCGUUCAGAUCACAGACAGGGAUGCUCAGAACAGAUGUCAAGGAAUUGUUGCUUAUUUGCAAUUACAUUUGACUUCCUUAGACAGCUCUCUACAGAGAAAGUUUCAUGUGGCUCUUCAUAUUUAAUGAGUAGUCUUUCUAGGUUUCUAAUUUUCAAAUAUUGACCAACUGUUACUACACCAAUAUAUUCUGCUUACAAAACAAGAAGGUGACUUCUGUGACUCAUUUGCAGGAGAUGGAUGGUGGGAGCUGUGCUGCAGCACCUCCCUUGGGCAGCCCCAUCAUGAUGUGGCUCCAGCAAAACCGGGGCUUUGUCUGUGCAGUGCUGUGGCUGCAAAGGGCACAGGGCAGCCAGCACUUCCCCAUGGCUCUUGGGCAGCUCCACACCUUCUAUGUGGGCUGAGGUCCUUCCUGCUGCAUCAGUGCAAGGCUGUUGGGGAGCACCAGCUGUGCUCUUCUGGGAGUGCUGCUGGCUGCUGGCUGCUGGCCCUCCUCUGCAGCCUGGACAAGUGCUUCAGAUCUCCACAAACAAUUUGAAAUUGAGGCACUGCAAAGCAUGACGCAGCUCUAGAAAGAGUCACUGACAAGACUGCUCUUGAGGGCCAUGUUCAUGGAGUGCAGGUGGAAUUUGCGUCUGAAUAUGUGUAUGUUUAUAUAUAAAUGUGUAUACAUGCAUACCUGCA